Long non-coding RNA from Otolemur garnettii (small-eared galago), 423 nucleotides. RefSeq lists it as uncharacterized. The transcript is spliced from 3 exons. The record is from RefSeq and is a predicted model, not a curated record. Lineage: Eukaryota; Metazoa; Chordata; Mammalia; Primates; Galagidae.
GUUGCAAGAAAUCCCUCUUUUUGCCUCGCGGAUCAUCUCUCCCAUUUCUAUAUGCCCCUGACCCGUGUCUGACUGCGCCUCCGUCCUGAGAGGGCACGUACUGAAAAUCCCCGCGACCGACAUGUGGGAAUCAGGGGCACCAUGGACGGGCCUCCGCUGACACUGAAUUGUUCCCCUUAACGACCCGAGGCGGGACUAGCAACUUCAAGAUUUUUUGUGAAUCUGAUUACUGAAAUAGUCCUGACAACACGAGCAGUUCUGGCUCUGGGGGCUCAUGGAAUCUCAGAUGCAAACAUCUUGCCUCCAGUCCUUGACUUUGUAGCAGAUGAACGUGACCUACUGUCUACCCUUGUGUCCUUGAUUCUUUGAAAUAAGAAAGAGAAAACGGGGUGAGGACAAGGGAAAGGGGGUCCUAGGGUGGGA